AAAAUGAUGCUCUUGACUUAAUAAUCCAAACCCGAUCUAUUAAUUGAGCAUAAGAGAAAGGAAUAUUCCCUCGAGUGAGUCACCCCUCUUGCGUAGAAUAAGACCGCCCCACCUGUCAGGUUUGACGACUUCCAUUCGACCAAUCAGAAGCUAGAAUGGUGGUCGGUCUUUGUCGGCUGCUAAAAUGUGCUUCUCUCAUUCUGAGAACGUCUCGAUGGAGAAGUUGACAUGGUUUCCGCUCAGUUACAAAUUAAAGGUAAACUAUACUUUGAUUAUUUGACAAAAAAACAAUCAUCAGCUUACGGAACGGCACACGACAAACCGGUAUAUUAACUCGAUCGGUUAGGGUUAGCCACCUAAUGCGUAAAAUCCUAUAACGGAAAAUCAAAGCGUUAAUAAUCACGUUUUUAAAAUCGCUCGAUUGUUAUUUUUAACGCUUAAACGUUUUUAAAAAAAAAAAAAAUCCGAAAUUUUUAUAUUUCGUACACUCGACGACCUGUCACGAUCGGUUUUGAAUUUUUUUUUAUUUUUAUUCCCGUGUGAUGUCAAUUUUCGUCGUGUUAACCGCCGGCGUAUCAGCUACGAUCUUUCGAGAAUUCAAAAUUUCAAAAAAAAAAAAUGUCUUUGGUGGAAACUUAAACGUUAAUUUUUCUCAUACGAAGUACGUAUAUAUAUAUAUAUACGGUAUUCGAUUUAAAACUAAACGAGAUAGCAAGAAAAGUGUUUAUCGAGUUAUCGAUUACACACUACGCAGCAUCACACUUAAAAAUGGCCAAAAAUUAGACGUGUCACUUUAACAAGUUGUAACCAUAUAUAUUUUAUCGUUACGACACUUAAAACAAUUGUUCUCUGUGUAGUGAACGUUUGUUUCUUUCGCUGUAUAACUAUUAUAAUGGUAAAAGACGUUGAACAAGAAGUAAAUUUUCGAGUAAACACUUACAGUAUAUACAAGUAGAACAGGUUAGACCAAGGUCGUUCAAUGCCAUCUUUUAUGUUCAGUCACGAACAUCGGAACAAAUUUCGGCAAAAUUUAAUGUGGCGAAAGAAAAGAGAGUGGGACGACUUAGGAAGAAAAUAAUUAACUUUUCUCCCCCUUUUUUUCUUUCUUUCUUAAGGGCGAUGUUUCUUGUCAUCUGUGUGUACUUUUCCGGUUCUAGAAUCGCCUACUUCAGGAACAAAACUGGUAUGUGCAGUUGAUACAGCAUAAAUACAAUACAAGAAUGCAAAUAGCUGCAUAGUUUGCUUCAUUGUUUCUCCACCACACAUGCUGGUUCGUUUACAAAAAUCUUUUUUUUUUUUUUCUGUAUUCGCUCAUCGUUACAGCAUUCGAUAGACGUUUCCACACCGAUGA
Molecule: long non-coding RNA, 1351 nt
Filed under: Androctonus crassicauda
Lineage: Eukaryota; Metazoa; Arthropoda; Arachnida; Scorpiones; Buthidae
Source: RNAcentral